AACGAACGCUGGCGGCAGGCUUAACACAUGCAAGUCGAACGCGUGUAGCAAUACACGAGUGGCGCACGGGUGAGUAACGCGUGGAUAUCUGCCUUUUGGUUCGGAAUAACUCCGGGAAACUGGAGCUAAUACCGGAUGGUUCCUUCGGGAUAAAGAUUUAUCGCCAAAAGAUGAGUCCGCGUACGAUUAGCUAGUUGGUGAGGUAAUGGCUCACCAAGGCGACGAUCGUUAGCUGGUCUGAGAGGACGAUCAGCCACACUGGGACUGAGACACGGCCCAGACUCCUACGGGAGGCAGCAGUGGGGAAUAUUGGACAAUGGGGGCAACCCUGAUCCAGCCAUGCCGCGUGAGUGAUGAAGGCCUUCGGGUUGUAAAGCUCUUUUGGCGGGGACGAUGAUGACGGUACCCGCAGAAUAAGCCCCGGCUAACUUCGUGCCAGCAGCCGCGGUAAGACGAAGGGGGCUAGCGUUGUUCGGAAUUACUGGGCGUAAAGCGAGUGUAGGUGGUUGUUCAAGUUGGAUGUGAAAGCCUUGAGCUCAACUCAAGAAAUGCAUUCAGGACUGAGCGACUAGAGGACCGGAGAGGAUAGUGGAAUUCCCAGUGUAGUGGUGAAAUACGUAGAGAUUGGGAAGAACACCAGUGGCGAAGGCGGCUAUCUGGACGGUUUCUGACACUAAGACUCGAAAGCGUGGGGAGCAAACAGG
This 704-nucleotide ribosomal RNA is filed under the name uncultured Alphaproteobacteria bacterium. RNAcentral's name for it is "bacterial SSU rRNA". It matches the Rfam family "Bacterial small subunit ribosomal RNA", at positions 28 to 776 of the family's 1533-position model. Lineage: Bacteria; Pseudomonadati; Pseudomonadota; Alphaproteobacteria. The record is from RNAcentral.